CGAGGCGGAGCGAAUCCCCAAAAGCAGUCUCAGUUCAGAUUGUAGGCUGAAACUCGCCUAUAUGAAGUCGGAAUUGCUAGUAAUCGCGGAUCAGCAUGCCGCGGUGAAUACGUUCCCGGGCCUUGUACACACCGCCCGUCACACCAUGAGAGUCGAUAACACCCGAAGCCUGUAGUCUAACCGCAAGGAGGACGCAGUCGAAGGUGGGAUUGAUAAUUAGGGUGAAGUCGUAACAAGGUACC
RNAcentral lists this ribosomal RNA (242 nucleotides) under uncultured bacterium. RNAcentral describes it as "partial 16S ribosomal RNA". It matches the Rfam family "Bacterial small subunit ribosomal RNA", at positions 1258 to 1500 of the family's 1533-position model. The record is from RNAcentral.